This is a non-coding RNA of Triticum aestivum (bread wheat), 125 nucleotides long. Lineage: Eukaryota; Viridiplantae; Streptophyta; Magnoliopsida; Poales; Poaceae. The record is from Rfam.
CUAGUACCCCCUCCAUCCGGAAAUGCUUGUCCUCAAAAUGGUUGUAACUAGACUUAUAUUAGUUAUAGAUACAUCCAUUUACAACCAUUUCGAGGACAAGGAUUUCCAGAUGGAGGGACUAUAAU